GAAGGGCGUACUAAUCUGCGAUAAGCGCCGGUAAGGUGAUAUGAACCGUUAUAACCGGCGAUACCCGAAUGGGGAAACCCAGUGUGAUUCGUCACACUAUCAUUAACUGAAUCCAUAGGUUAAUGAGGCGAACCGGGGGAACUGAAACAUCUAAGUACCCCGAGGAAAAGAAAUCAACCGAGAUUCCCCCAGUAGCGGCGAGCGAACGGGGAGGAGCCCAGAGCCUGAAUCAGCAUGUGUGUUAGUGGAAGCGUCUGGAAAGGCGCGCGAUACAGGGUGACAGCCCCGUACACAAAAGCGCAUGUGCUGUGAGCUCGAUGAGUAGGGCGGGACACGUGGUAUCCUGUCUGAAUAUGGGGGGACCAUCCUCCAAGGCUAAAUACUCCUGACUGACCGAUAGUGAACCAGUACCGUGAGGGAAAGGCGAAAAGAACCCCGGCGAGGGGAGUGAAAAAGAACCUGAAACCGUGUACGUACAAGCAGUGGGAGCCCCACCACCAAAGCAUUUGCUGUACCGCGUUGACGGA
This 527-nucleotide ribosomal RNA is filed under the name Salmonella enterica subsp. enterica serovar Enteritidis. RNAcentral describes it as "partial 23S ribosomal RNA". It matches the Rfam family "Bacterial large subunit ribosomal RNA", at positions 51 to 592 of the family's 2925-position model. The record is from RNAcentral. Lineage: Bacteria; Pseudomonadati; Pseudomonadota; Gammaproteobacteria; Enterobacterales; Enterobacteriaceae.